This 490-nucleotide ribosomal RNA is filed under the name uncultured bacterium. RNAcentral describes it as "partial 16S ribosomal RNA". It matches the Rfam family "Bacterial small subunit ribosomal RNA", at positions 28 to 523 of the family's 1533-position model. The record is from RNAcentral.
GACGAACGCUGGCGGCGUGCCUAACACAUGCAAGUCGAGCGCUCGGCCAUCGGUAGCAAUACCGGUGGCGGGCGAGCGGCGAACGGGUGCGUAACACGUGGGCAAUCUGCCCCAGACUCUGGGAUAACCCCGGGAAACCGGGGCUAAUACCGGAUACUCUCGGCCGGCCGCAUGAUCGGCCGAGGAAAGCUCCGACGGUCUGGGAUGGGCCCGCGGCCUAUCAGCUUGUUGGGGGGGUAACGGCCUACCAAGGCGACGACGGGUAGCUGGUCUGAGAGGACGGCCAGCCACACUGGGACUGAGAUACGGCCCAGACUCCUACGGGAGGCAGCAGUGGGGAAUCUUGCGCAAUGGGCGAAAGCCUGACGCAGCGACGCCGCGUGAGGGAUGAAGGCCUUCGGGUUGUAAACCUCUUUCGGCAGGGACGAAGCGAAAGUGACGGUACCUGCAGAAGAAGCCCCGGCUAACUACGUGCCAGCCGCCGCCGUAA